CCUACGGGAGGCUGCAGUGGGGAAUAUUGGACAAUGGGGGGAACCCUGAUCCAGCCAUGCCGCGUGUGUGAAGAAGGCCCUCGGGUUGUAAAGCACUUUCAGUGAGGAAGAACGCCUGGUGGUUAAUACCCAUCAGGAAAGACAUCACUCACAGAAGAAGCACCGGCUAACUCUGUGCCAGCAGCCGCGGUAAUACGGAGGGUGCGAGCGUUAAUCGGAAUUACUGGGCGUAAAGCGCGCGUAGGUGGCUUGAUAAGCCGGUUGUGAAAGCCCCGGGCUCAACCUGGGAACGGCAUCCGGAACUGUCAAGCUAGAGUGCAGGAGAGGAAGGUAGAAUUCCCGGUGUAGCGGUGAAAUGCGUAGAGAUCGGGAGGAAUACCAGUGGCGAAGGCGGCCUUCUGGACUGACACUGACACUGAGGUGCGAAAGCGUGGGUAGCAAACAGGAUUAGAUACCCUUGUAGUC
This 465-nucleotide ribosomal RNA is filed under the name Vreelandella stevensii. RNAcentral's name for it is "partial 16S ribosomal RNA". It matches the Rfam family "Bacterial small subunit ribosomal RNA", at positions 338 to 795 of the family's 1533-position model. The record is from RNAcentral. Lineage: Bacteria; Pseudomonadati; Pseudomonadota; Gammaproteobacteria; Oceanospirillales; Halomonadaceae.